UAAAGGGAGGAAUCCGCUUACAGAGGGGCCUGCGGCGCAUUAGCUAGUUGGUAAGGUAAAGGCUUACCAAGGCGAUGAUGCGUAGCCGGACUGAGAGGUUGAACGGCCACAAUGGAACUGAGAACGGUCCAUACUCCUACGGGAGGCAGCAGUAGGGAAUUUUCGGCAAUGGGGGGAACCCUGACCGAGCAACGCCGCGUGAACGAAGAAGUUAUUCGUAAUGUAAAGUUCUUUUAUUUGCGAAGAAGAAAGUGACGGUAGCAAAUGAAUAAGCUCCGGCUAACUACGUGCCAGCAGCCGCGGUAAUACGUAGGGAGCGAGCGUUAUCCGGAAUUAUUGGGCGUAAAGGGUGCGUAGAUGGCACAAAAAGUCUUGUGUAAAAAUGCUAGGCUCAACCUAGUAGAGCAAAAGAUACUUUUGAGCUAGAGUAUGGCAGAGGCAAGUGGAACUACAUGUGUAGCGGUAAAAUGCGUAAAUAUAUGUAAGAACACCAGUGGCGAAGGCGGCUUGCUGGGCCGAUACUGACAUUGAGGCACGAAAGCGUGGGGAGCAAACAGGAUUAGAUACCCUGGUAGUCCACGCCCUAAACGAUGAGUACUAAGUGUU
This 606-nucleotide ribosomal RNA is filed under the name uncultured bacterium. RNAcentral describes it as "bacterial SSU rRNA". It matches the Rfam family "Bacterial small subunit ribosomal RNA", at positions 202 to 824 of the family's 1533-position model. The record is from RNAcentral.